UACGUAGGUGGCAAGCGUUGUCCGGAAUUAUUGGGCGUAAAGCGCGCGCAGGUGGGAUCUUAAGUCCAUUUUGAAAGUUCGGAGCUCAACUCCGUGAUGGGAUGGAAACUGGGAUUCUUGAGUACCGGAGAGGAAAGCGGAAUUCCCCGUGUAGCGGUGAAAUGCGUAGAUAUGGGGAGGAACACCAGUGGCGAAGGCGGCUUUCUGGACGGUGUCUGACACUGAGGCGCGAAAGCUAGGGGAGCGAACGGG
Molecule: ribosomal RNA, 252 nt
Filed under: uncultured bacterium
Lineage: Bacteria
Also listed under: 1 other name
Description: partial 16S ribosomal RNA
Rfam family: Bacterial small subunit ribosomal RNA
Source: RNAcentral